AACGAACGCUGGCGGCAUGCCUAACACAUGCAAGUCGAACGAGACCUUCGGGUCUAGUGGCGCACGGGUGCGUAACGCGUGGGAACCUGCCCUUAGGUUCGGAAUAACUCCCCGAAAGGGGUGCUAAUACCGGAUAAUGUCUUCGGACCAAAGAUUUAUCGCCUUUGGAUGGGCCCGCGUUGGAUUAGCUAGUUGGUAGGGUAAAAGCCUACCAAGGCGACGAUCCAUAGCUGGUCUGAGAGGAUGAUCAGCCACACUGGAACUGAGACACGGCCCAGACUCAUACGGGAGGCAGCAGUGGGGAAUAUUGGACAAUGGGCGAAAGCCUGAUCCAGCAGUGCCGCGUGAGUGAUGAAGGCCUUAGGGUUGUAAAGCUCUUUUACCCGGGAUGAUAAUGACAGUACCGGGAGAAUAAGCUCCGGCAAACUCCGU
Molecule: ribosomal RNA, 432 nt
Filed under: uncultured bacterium
Lineage: Bacteria
Description: partial 16S ribosomal RNA
Rfam family: Bacterial small subunit ribosomal RNA
Source: RNAcentral